RNAcentral lists this ribosomal RNA (447 nucleotides) under uncultured bacterium. RNAcentral describes it as "partial 16S ribosomal RNA". It matches the Rfam family "Bacterial small subunit ribosomal RNA", at positions 29 to 523 of the family's 1533-position model. The record is from RNAcentral.
AGCGAACGCUGGCGGCAGGCCUAAUACACGCAAGUCGAACGGCCCUUCGGGGCAGUGGCGGACGGGUGAGUAACGCGUGGGAACGUGCCCUUUGGUACGGAACAACUGAGGGAAACUUCAGCUAAUACCGUAUGUGCCCUUCGGGGGAAAGAUUUAUCGCCAUUGGAGCGGCCCGCGUUGGAUUAGCUAGUUGGUGGGGUAAAGGCCCACCAAGGCUACGAUCCAUAGCUGGUCUGAGAGGAUGAUCAGCCACACUGGGACUGAGACACGGCCCAGACUCCUACGGGAGGCAGCAGUAGGGAAUCUUGCGCAAUGGGCGAAAGCCUGACGCAGCCAUGCCGCGUGAAUGAUGAAGGUCUUAGGAUUGUAAAAUUCUUUCACCGGGGAAGAUAAUGACGGUACCCGGAGAAGAAGCCCCGGCUAACUUCGUGCCAGCCGCCGCUGUAA